CCUCCUCUCUUCCUCUCCACUUCCUCCUCUUCCUCCUCUCCAGCCCUCCUGGAUGCUCGCUGUAGACAUUCAGAUGCAAAUGCCGGCUGCCCCUAGUAAUUGAAUUCAUCACCAGUUAAUCAGGCACUUUAAAGGCCUGGCUGAGCUCGAGCUCCCUGUAGCUGAAUGCUCCGAAGGACAAGGAGGCUUGAAUGAUGUUGAUGCCGUCACAACCGAUUGUCUGGCACUGAGGGAGCAAGUGGCCAUCUAUGAGGACCAGCUGGCCAAAAUGGAGCAGCAACAUGAGGAGAGGGUCGAGAGUCUGACUGAGCCAGCUGAUGGGGUUCCUGGUGAAGAUGCCCUUGUCUCUUUGGAAUUCCCAGGCUUUGACAUCACCCCUGCUAUCAUGGAUAUCAAGGAGUAUUAUAGUCAGCUGGCAGAGAGCCUGCAGUUUGAGAGCGGCCCGAGAGCGGCCCUCACCGCGGGAGGAGAGGGCAACGGGGCCGCCGGAGCCAAAGCAGCAGGGGUCAAAGUGACAGACGUCUCCAAAGUGACGGACGUGGAUACCCUGAAGACUCUGAUUGCUGAGCUGAGGAAGGAGCUUGCUGAACUGGAGAAGCAGAAUGAGGAGCUGGAGGCAGAGAUCGAGGCCAGGAAAGAGGCUUACCUGCAGGAGAUUGAAGACCUGGAGAACUGUGUGGCGGACCUGAAGGACUCGCAGGCUGACCUUGAGGCUCAGAUGAGGGAGCACUGCAGUGACUAUGAAGAACUCCUGAGUCAGAAGAUGGCCCUGGACAUUGAAAUCGCUGCCUACAGGGGCCUGGUGGAGGAGGAAGAGGAGCGCUUGUACUGCCUGUAAACGGAUGGUGAA
Molecule: long non-coding RNA, 850 nt
Organism: Clupea harengus (Atlantic herring)
Lineage: Eukaryota; Metazoa; Chordata; Actinopteri; Clupeiformes; Clupeidae
Source: Ensembl